RNAcentral lists this ribosomal RNA (385 nucleotides) under uncultured bacterium. RNAcentral's name for it is "bacterial SSU rRNA". It matches the Rfam family "Bacterial small subunit ribosomal RNA", at positions 370 to 772 of the family's 1533-position model. The record is from RNAcentral.
AAUGGGCGAAAGCCUGAUCCAGCCAUGCCGCGUGAGUGAUGAAGGCCUUAGGGUUGUAAAGCUCUUUCAGCGGGGAAGAUAAUGACGGUACCCGCAGAAGAAGCCCCGGCUAACUUCGUGCCAGCAGCCGCGGUAAUACGAAGGGGGCUAGCGUUGCUCGGAAUCACUGGGCGUAAAGCGCACGUAGGCGGCUUUCUAAGUCAGGGGUGAAAUCCUGGAGCUCAACUCCAGAACUGCCUUUGAUACUGGAAAGCUUGAGUUCGGGAGAGGUGAGUGGAACUGCGAGUGUAGAGGUGAAAUUCGUAGAUAUUCGCAAGAACACCAGUGGCGAAGGCGGCUCACUGGCCCGAUACUGACGCUGAGGUGCGAAAGCGUGGGGAGCAAA